CUACGGUCAGCUCCUCUGAAACAGAUCAGCUUGCCAGUAUUUGGUGGCGUCACAGGUGUGAUAACUAUCUACGCUUGCGAUCGUUUGCCAAGUAACCUUUGGUGACGAGGGUUUGCUGGAGCUUAUAAAUGUCUCUCCUCAGCGAAGACAGCUUUUGACCGUUCGAUCUCAAAUCAGGUAGGACUACCCGCUGAACUUAA
RNAcentral lists this unclassified non-coding RNA (200 nucleotides) under soil metagenome. RNAcentral describes it as "partial contains internal transcribed spacer 2 and large subunit ribosomal RNA". The record is from RNAcentral.